This 449-nucleotide ribosomal RNA is filed under the name uncultured bacterium. Its description in RNAcentral is "partial 16S ribosomal RNA". It matches the Rfam family "Bacterial small subunit ribosomal RNA", at positions 354 to 796 of the family's 1533-position model. The record is from RNAcentral.
GUCGAGAAUCUUUCACAAUGGGGGCAACCCUGAUGGAGCGACGCCGCGUGGAGGAUAAGGUCUUCGGAUUGUAAACUCCUGUCAUGCGUGAACAAGGUUGCUUGGUUAAUACCUGGGCAAAUUGAUGGUAACGCAAGAGGAAGAGACGGCUAACUCUGUGCCAGCAGCCGCGGUAAUACAGAGGUCUCAAGCGUUGUUCGGAAUCACUGGGCGUAAAGGGUGCGUAGGUGGCGUGGUAAGUCAGAUGUGAAAGCCCGGGGCUCAACCGAGGAACUGCAUCCGAUACUGCCAUGCUAGAGUACUGGAGAGGUGACUAGAAUUCUCGGUGUAGCAGUGAAAUGCGUAGAUAUCGAGAGGAAUACCAAAGGCGUAGGCAGGUCACUGGACAGUUACUGACACUGAGGCACGAAGGCCAGGGGAGCGAAAAGGAUUAGAUACCCUAGUAGUCC